UAUGGCUCAGAUUGAACGCUGGCGGCAGGCCUAACACAUGCAAGUCGAGCGGUAGAGAGMAGCUUGCUUCUCUUGAGAGCGGCGGACGGGUGAGUAAUGCCUASGAAUCUGCCUGGUAGUGGGGGAUAACGUUCGGAAACGGACGCUAAUACCGCAUACGUCCUACGGGAGAAAGCAGGGGACCUUCGGGCCUUGCGCUAUCAGAUGAGCCUAGGUCGGAUUAGCUAGUUGGUGAGGUAAUGGCUCACCAAGGCGACGAUCCGUAACUGGUCUGAGAGGAUGAUCAGUCACACUGGAACUGAGACACGGUCCAGACUCCUACGGGAGGCAGCAGUGGGGAAUAUUGGACAAUGGGCGAAAGCCUGAUCCAGCCAUGCCGCGUGUGUGAAGAAGGUCUUCGGAUUGUAAAGCACUUUAAGUUGGGAGGAAGGGCAGYAAAUUAAUACUUUGCUGUUUUGACGUUACCGACAGAAUAAGCACCGGCUAACUCUGUGCCAGCAGCCGCGGUAAUACAGAGGGUGCAAGCGUUAAUCGGAAUUACUGGGCGUAAAGCGCGCGUAGGUGGUUCGUUAAGUUGGAUGUGAAAUCCCCGGGCUCAACCUGGGAACUGCAUUCAAAACUGACGAGCUAGAGUAUGGUAGAGGGUGGUGGAAUUUCCUGUGUAGCGGUGAAAUGCGUAGAUAUAGGAAGGAACACCAGUGGCGAAGGCGACCACCUGGACUGAUACUGACAC
This 733-nucleotide ribosomal RNA is filed under the name Pseudomonas sp. Its description in RNAcentral is "bacterial SSU rRNA". It matches the Rfam family "Bacterial small subunit ribosomal RNA", at positions 18 to 746 of the family's 1533-position model. Lineage: Bacteria; Pseudomonadati; Pseudomonadota; Gammaproteobacteria; Pseudomonadales; Pseudomonadaceae. The record is from RNAcentral.